AAUAGAUUUAUGCGUGGAAGUCUGUGCAGAGUUGGAGGCUGCAUCGUAGCUGUUUUCAGUUCUCCUUUUGGAGACAGAGCGUGUGUUUUUUCUCACCCGCUCUGAACAGCUCGCAGAGCGCCGGUUUUCCUUUCUGGAGGUCUCCGGCGCCAUGAGCAAAUUUACAGGAUUCGUCGUCAAAAGGACAUGCCUUUUUUCUCCAGGCGGCGCAGAUUUUCGUUUUCUUCAUGAGAGGCCGCACGCGCAGGUCUUCGAGCGAGUGCGCAAAGGUGCAGGAGCUACCACGUCUGCAGCGGCCCGCGAGGGCGAAGCGGCAGAACUGGAUCUUGUAGAUUCUGCAGAAAGGGAGCAGAGGGGACGCGAAGCUCCAGGCGCUUUGAAGGAGAGCCGGGCGCAGCGAAAAGAGGAAUGAGGAACGCCGGACCUCAGAGAGCAAAGGGCACCCUCGGCCGUCGCGAACGGGACGAAAAGAGACGAAACAGAAGAAGGCCGCAAACCCACCGCCAGUGAAGCAAGCCCCGAGGGAGAGAAGAGAGAGAAAAGAACGGGGAGGAGUAAGGGCGAAUCUCCGACAGCGAGGACGGACAGACACAGAGAAUGGGAAAGGAAAGAAGCAAGAAACGCGUUGAGUCACUUACUUGAACCGGUGAUCGUGGACAUCCGUACCAGGCACGGUGUCUCGUCGCGUACUGGAAGUCUCCAUGGUGUGGGGUUGUCGUGUUUCGCGUCGCUCCUUGUUUCCUUUUUCGUCUGUCGUCCCUCUGUUCUCCACGUUGUUUGUACGUUUGCUUCUCUCGCCUGAGCCUUCGUCUCACCUAUUCUUUCCUGCUCUUUCUAUCCUCGCAGACGUUCUCUUCUCUCUGCGUUCCUCACUUUAUCUCCCCUUGCUCGGCUUCUGCUGUUCCCGUGGUGGGCAAGGAAUCCUCCGCGUAUCCGGUGUAUUCUCCCUCGCGGGCCGUCCAGAGCCUUUCUGUCGGCAACCGACUCGCUCUUUCUCCCAGAGACGAUACGCCUCAGAGCCGAUUCCGUGUCGUCUUCUCUCUAGAGACGGAGACAGUAUGAGUGGGGACAAGCUGUGCUCGUGCCUCCUCUCAGAUCCACUUUUGGAAAAAAAGGAAAAGGUGCUGGCAGACAGUGCAGAAGAAACCCGGCGAGAAAGAAAGCGCGAAUAGGGUCUCGUUCUGAGAAGUCGGGGACCCGAAGGAGACGGUUCCUCCGUCUCUGUGUUUUACAUUUCCAGCAACCAAAUCAGCGAAAACGCAUUCAGCAAGCCUAUACACAUUGCGCAGUUGUAAACCUACAUGGCGUGCUCGAAUACACACGAAGCCUCGCAGAAGGUCAUUCCCUCACCAACACAUGCAUGUACACAUUUAGAGAUGCAUGUAUAUUUAUACAUAUGCAUAUGAAUAUGCGGCUAAAGAAAAAGUGCGAUGCAUGUACCGCCGUGCUCGGGUUCCUGCACUCGAGAAUCUAUGCAUUCAUCUCCGCAUUUCAUACGGCGGGGGUCCCUGGUGGAGCAACAGGCUGUUAACAUAGUUGGGCUGUAUCGAGGUUCUGCGGGUCAUUCUUCCGUGAGGCAGCCGAACCGCAGACAACUUCAGCUUUAACAUCAAAGGGCAUGCAGUCUCUGCUUCGAACAUUCAUUUGUGUCACGGGCGCCAAAGGCUGUCUGCGGCGAGGGCGCUGAGCAGCCCUGGUCGCAGUUUGCAUUCGAGGGAAGGUACGGGAGAAAAGGUAGCGCCUGGGGGCAGAGCGACGAAGGCUGGCCCUGAUGGCCAGAGACAGGUCAGACACGCAGAAGCACUGGGAAGCGCGCGGCGGGGAAGUCGCUGUUCACCGGGUCUCCAAAUCAACAUUGUCUUUUACGGCGGAAGAAAGAAGCGAUUCACCGAAGCGAGCCAAAAAAAGGCUUUUCGAGUCACUGGUGUGCAGGUCCGGCCGACCGGAAAGCUCAGGUGUAUGUACACCUGAACUUUCCUGGUGUCUGUCGAGCCGAAAUCUCGGGUGUACAUUCACCUCAUGUGGCGUCGCCUGGCAAGACAAGAAGGCUCGCGGGCAGGGCGGAGGCAGAAAAGAGCCUUUCCUGCGGCUAAAACAGAUUCGCCAAGCGUCGUAGACCGGAAGGGCCACGUUUCGCGUCCAACUGGCGGUGCGUGGAGGCGCUGGACUUUUUUCGGCAGUGAAAACCGACACGACGCACGCAGCGGGCUCGCCGCUCUCGAGGGGACCCUCUACGUACAAGGCGCAGGGGGGCGGCAUUCGCGGCGAAAAGCCGCAGAAACUGGAGUUCUGCGACGACAAUCGCGGGAGGUUUCGGCAGUUGGGGUCGCGAGACAGUCGUAGGAGGAGAACGAAGAAAGAAUUUCUUGCGCGAGGUCGUUCGACUCGCCGUGGCUCGCGUGCGGUCGUUGCGGGACUGGAAGACAGAGAGAGAGCAACACAGAAGAUGUCCCAAGCGCGAGAACAGGAGCCUGUCGAGUUGACGAUGUCUGCAGAGGAAAGUGCACAACGGAGAAUCCGCCCUGUCGCAGUCGAGGACGAGGGCCGAGGCGGCGCGGACAACGAUGUAACACCAGCUCCCACAACCGCGUUUUCUUCUGUCCCACGCGUCGCGACGAUGUCCCACGAGAGAGGUGCCAGGCCACCGACCCAAACCAACACGGUUCAAGACAGCGCGAGACUUUUCGCCGGAGGAACGAGCGCAAGGCUGGUCUGCAGACGCCCCGCGCGUUUUCGCGCCCCUUUUUGAAGAGAAGUUUGUACGCAGACAUCUGCUCUCCCAAGUUCGCUCUCCUCCAUCACGAAAGACUCGCACACACCUCGAGUCACCAGCGGACAAACACGAAGCGGCAGGCGAGACACCUGCCCAGCUGUGGCACCACCGGAGUCCGCACAAGCUGCAGAGAAGAGGAGGUCUGCGUUCAGCGCGGCUCUGGAUUCCUGCUUCUCUGUCGAGAAAUGCAGCUCUUUUCACACAGUCACAAAAAUGCAGAAACCGGUCUGUCUUCCGAUGCGCUUCAAGGGAGGCUCGAGACUCCCGCGCCGAAAGACAACUGGAUUGCCUCACACAUCGUGGGCCAUGCAGCGUCUGUCUCGGCACAUUUGGCCAGGGCACCGCAUCACGCAGAUUUCCCUUUUUUUCCGGCAGAAACCACACGUCGUUUCGCACGUUCGAGUGCGGUGAAACUGCAGACACACACAUGUCGGGACGGGAAGCCACUCUUCCCUCACGCGGAGCCCAGUCAAGGGCCUCCGUCGCUUGUUUCGUUGACGCUUCGCCUUUUUCCGCUAUACGCAGCAGAUCCCCUGCUCGUUCCAGUGAACUCACAGAACAGCCGCGGCACGGAUAACGCGACGAGUGCAGCUGAUUAGCUUAAACUGAGGAGUCAAGAAGGUACAAACCGUACAAGGAUUCUUUAUGUCCACCUGUGCAUCCAAGUUGAUACUCGGUUCUAUAUGUUACACGCUAACUUCCCGGCUAAACACUCGAGUGGGCCAGUAAAAAAAGAAAACUACACGAACGGUAGAUUUAUGGGCUGCUCUAUGUUUUUUAUUCUUCUGUGGACUCUAGGAGGUACAAGAGAUGUUGUUAU
RNAcentral lists this long non-coding RNA (3593 nucleotides) under Toxoplasma gondii VEG. Lineage: Eukaryota; Apicomplexa; Conoidasida; Eucoccidiorida; Sarcocystidae. The record is from RNAcentral.